GUUGACGAAAAAGCGCCGGGCCACGCGGGUGACAGCCGUGAGGGUGACGAGGAGAGGGAUCAUCGAAAGUUUCGGCGGGUGUUCCUCCGGUUGAAACGGGAGCAAAAGCUCCCGGGGCUUAUACCAGCCGCAGAGAAGGGCAAAAAACGGCAGCAAUACCGCAACAGAACCCUUUCAAAGAAAGCC
This 186-nucleotide non-coding RNA is filed under the name Faecalibacterium prausnitzii. Its description in RNAcentral is "GlcN6P sequence". It matches the Rfam family "glmS glucosamine-6-phosphate activated ribozyme aptamer". From Rfam's summary of the family: This entry contains a glucosamine-6-phosphate activated ribozyme that is found in the mRNA for GlmS. RNAcentral also lists the same sequence under 1 other name. Lineage: Bacteria; Bacillati; Bacillota; Clostridia; Eubacteriales; Oscillospiraceae. The record is from RNAcentral.